This 448-nucleotide long non-coding RNA is filed under the name Capsicum annuum. Its description in RNAcentral is "long non-coding RNA (CANN_LNC002257)". Lineage: Eukaryota; Viridiplantae; Streptophyta; Magnoliopsida; Solanales; Solanaceae. The record is from RNAcentral.
CUGUCUUGUGCAACAUUAACUAAUUUGCUCGCCAAUAAGAUCGAGACCUACUAGGAGGAAUGUCACUCCUUGGAAAAGAAGGAAGUAAAAGUGGAGUCCAUGAGCAGAUAAAAGGCUUCUCGCUGACGCCGUUAAGAGUAAGAAAGCAAGAGCUAACUCUUUUCUGUAUAUUUUGUUGCUCUUCUUGACAGGUGUAGAAGUUUCAUCUUUCUGUUUGUUCAGUCGGUUCAGCUCAGAAAGUUCACUUUCCGAAGCCCCUCUGCUAAUUUGUGGUGCCCCAAAUGCUUUUAAAUCUUUUUCAGCAGCGGCCAGUAGGUCAGAUUCAGAAGACCUUCCAGCUUUUUUGGUAACAACCCACUCGUACGAGCUUCCCAAUUGGAAAAGUCCAGAUACCAUAGCAUUGAACUUUGUCACUGACAUAGUGUUUUCAAAAAGGAGGUAGGGGGCG